UGAAUAGAUGGUCAGGUGCAUUACUAAGGGUGGGCUGGAGGAAAACACUUUCCAGGCUGGGGUAAAAGCAUGUACAAAGGUCCAGAGGCCAGAAAGAGGUGGUUGAGUUUAGGCCGAGAAAGAGCUGGAGUUUACCUAGUGACAGGAAGCAUAGGGAAGGUGAUGGGAAGCAUAGGGAGGGUGAUGGGGCUGAGCUUUCUCUGCCAAUGCUUGCAGCCUGCAGGCUCUAAUGCACUUUCAGACUGUUUGUCUAUUUUCUCGGAAUUUCCCAACAUGACCCCAAAAGUUCCUUGCUUUUACUCUUGCCCCUGAAGCUAGACCCCCUAGGGGCUCCAGAAAUCUCUACCAAUAGGAGUUUGUUGCCAAGCCUACAGUCGGCAACAGGGCCCUAUUUCUCUUUGGGAUUUCUGGGCUAGCAUUCCAGGCCUCAGGAACCUCCUUCCACCAAAGGGGAUUCAGGAAAAGCAGGGCACACAGAGGGUGUGGCUGGUGUGGGCUUCCCCCAGCUCAGCAUAUAUAUGGGUGCGUAGGUGUUACUGGCAACAUGUGCAGCUGCACUGUCUGGGAGGAACAGCCCGGUACCCACACAAAGCACACGCCUGUGACAUCACCCAGACCAUCCCUGCUUGGGCCUAUUUCUGUGCACACUCAUGUUUCAGCAUGCCCUGGCCUACGCCAUUCUUGUGCCUGGAGUGUGGGGGACUGGGAAAAAUCCAGUCCAACUACAGCCCAACUUCCACACUCUGGCCUGUGGGCUUGUCUUUGCAGCUGUUUUAUUUUAUAACAACUUAGAACAGUGGUUGGCAUAUUGUGAAUGCUUUGUAACUAAUUUAUCCAUGUUGGCUCAUUUCUUCCUCAUUACAGCUCUGGGAAUUUUCUUAUUCCCACUUUACAGAAGAAAAUCUGAGGCCCAGAGAGAUGAAAAGACAUGUACAUGGUCACACAGCCAAUAGGUGGCAGAGAUAAGAUUCCAAGCCAGGCAUUCUGGCUCCAGAGUCAGUGCUGUAUCACCUCCCAUGUACGAACACUGUCAAUAUCCUCACCCCUUUCCCAAGCACUUCUAUCUGAUGCAUUUUCCUUUUUUAUUUUGUUCAGUGUUGUCCAGGUUGGGCUCUUUGGGAAGUGGACUCUAUGACAGGUUAGCGGGCAGAGUGUUGAUUAGGGAAUGCCCCUGGGAUCAGCGCUGUGGAGGGGACAGGAAGGAAACAGAAGUAGGCACAGGGGGAAAUUAAGCUGUGAUGCAGGCUUGAUGACAGCCUCAGCCAACCCCCAGGGAGCUCUGUUAUCGGCACUGAAAUGGAUUUGGGUUGUCUGGGAAGAGUGCAGCUUUGGCCACAGGGCUCUGUGCAACUGAGGUGAUCACAGGGGAUUGGCAGCUGAGGUUUCCUGCCACCAGCUCUCCCAGCAGUUGGGGCAACAAGGCCUUCCUGGAAGGGGUGUCUCCUUGGUGGUACAUCACUAUGCUCACCACUAAUGUAUUUCUUUCCUGCCACUUAAAAAAAAUCAGAAUACCUUAAACAAAAAUAUUCUACUGUAAAAAUAGGAUAUGAGCCAGGUACGAUGACGCAUGCCUGUAAUCCAAGUGGCUCAUGAGGCUGAGUCAGGAGGAUCGUGAGUUCAAAGCCAGCAUCAGCAACAGUGAGGUGCUAACUUAGUGAGACCCUGUGUCUAAAUAAAAUACAAAAUAGGACUGGGGAUGUGAUGUGGCUCAGUGGUUGAGUGCCCCUGAGUUCAAUCCCUGGCGCAUACACACAAAAAGGGAUAUGAGAUUCUAAAAGGGGGACUAUAAUAUGGCUAAUAAGGGUUGAUGCAGCUGUGACAGCAUCAAAUAUGGCUGAGCUUCCUGGCAUCCAAAGCAGUUACACUUUCUAUUCUGAUUUCUUGGGCAAGAAUUUUUUUUCCUGAGAUUAAAUUAUAAGACAAGUUUCUCACGUGGAUACUUAUUUGGCUGAAACAGAAGACUCUUCUCAGUAGAUUAAUAGCAAAUGCUAACGCAGUUUUCAUUUGUUCUCUGUAAUGAUGGUGAAUAAAUAUAGGAGGGGUAAUUUAAAAGCAUAGUUAAAUGAAGCCCCUUCCACAGAGGAGGCAUAUUUACUGACUUGCAGUGUCCAAUUUAAUCCAUGCAUAAAACUGUGUUCGUUUUCUUUAAAUUGUUCUUUUUACUCAGUUUCCUUGGGAGACAUGCUAAGUAGCAGCACAUGGCCAGUACUUCCUAAGCGUUCAUCUUGAUGUACCUUGAGCUUCACACCCUAACCUGCAAUCUAGGCUCUUGACCUCUGGCCUCCAAAUCUACCUAUGGUUCCCACUUAGUCAUUGGCUUCACAAUUUUUUUUUUUUAAAUGCAGUGUUAGGGAUCAAACCAAGGGCCUCACUCAUGCCAAACAAGUGCCCUACCACUGAGCCACAUGCCCAGCCUGUGCAUCACUUUUCUGAGGUUAUGUCUUCCUGCUUUUCUCCUCACCGGGUGUGUAUUCACAGGCCCUCAAGAGCCCUGUUUACUCACUCCAGGCAAAAUCAUACCCAGCCCAGUGGCUCCCAGGGUUUCUGCUCUUUCCAGUCUUUGCUACCUUCUUGCUGUUUGGCCCCAUUGAGGCUGUGCUUCAUGCUACCUACUGUGAUUGCUUCAUAGAGGUCGAAUUAUGGAACUGAAGAAUGAGAAGGGGAAACUGAGACCAGGGCAGACCUGCCCCUGCCUCCCCUUGUCUUCCAGCAGUCAUCCCUGGUGCCACCUCUAGAUUGCUUAGACAGCAGGGCUGAAUCAUACCAAGUUCCCACUCCUCCAGGAGUGGGUAUAGAAAUGCCAGCAGCACACACUAAUUCCCUGUGAUAUAAGGGCAUAAGAGCAUAAGAG
RNAcentral lists this long non-coding RNA (2851 nucleotides) under Marmota monax (woodchuck). The record is from RNAcentral. Lineage: Eukaryota; Metazoa; Chordata; Mammalia; Rodentia; Sciuridae.